UACUGUUUUAGUUAGGGCUUGUUGAAUUUGCGUUGCUUCGGUUUGUGUCGAGUUGCUGGUCUUAGUGUCUAGUCCUUUAGAGUUUCGAGUUCUUGUCACCAUCUAUACACAGCCGAGUAUUACCAUAUCUUCUCUCUGUCGAAUCUGUUGCGAAGUCUGAAUUGAACUGUGGUCUUGGUCCGGAUCGAGUAGAGUUCCAAUCUGAGUUCAAAAAGAAAGAUAACUCUACUUGUUCGGCCUUACUCUAGAGAGAGAGAGAGAGAGUGUGGAGCGAAAAAAGUGUGUGGAGCGAAUUGCUCUUUUGUAUUCUUUUGUUCAUAUAAUCAAUUUUUGAGGUUGCCCAAAAAAAAAGAAAAAAAAAACAAAAGAGAAAAGAUUCAAAAAAAGGGGCUGUUUUUCAUAUUGAUUUUAGGUUUGUCCCACCUUGUUUUCGGGGGUGUGCUGUGGUUUUCCUUUGUGUCCAGGCUCGCGUCUCUAGCACGGUCUAGCCUAGGACCAGCACAGUACCAUCAUCGAACGCUUAUUCAGCUCGCUUUUAUAACUAACGUGGUGCUAGUUCGUUCCUUGUUUCAGCCCACCUAUAGCUCCAC
Molecule: long non-coding RNA, 590 nt
Filed under: Sorghum bicolor (sorghum)
Lineage: Eukaryota; Viridiplantae; Streptophyta; Magnoliopsida; Poales; Poaceae
Description: long non-coding RNA (SBIC_LNC018626)
Source: RNAcentral